AUUUAACCAACAAGGAAGCUGAGGCUCAGAGAGGGGAAGCGCCCAAGGUCACACAGCUGGGAUGUGGCAGAGCUGGGGUUCCAGCUCCUGUUCCCAUUGCUGGACAGCUGCCACAUCUGGCACCCAAUUUAGGACCCCGCGGGGAGGCCCAAGCCCCGGGGGUGGCGGGGGAUCCUAGAGGAAAGUGGCAAGGCCAGGACCCUGGAGCAGAGCCAGUGGAAUGUCACCAUCGCCCAGGUGGGGAUUUUUGUGUGUUUUGUUCACUGCUGUACACCCAGCCCCCAGCACAGCGCCUGUCCAGGACAAGUGCCCAGUAAACACUUGGGAAGCAAUGCAAGCGUCCUCCCAGCAGCUCCUGCAAACAGACCCCCGACCCAAGCCCUUCCUUCUGCCUCCACUGCCACCACUGCUGCUCAUCUCUGCUGGCACAGAAGUCUCUUCCCUGGUCUUCCAGAAAUCCCCUCUCCACACUCAGCCAGAGGGAGCUAUUAAAACUGUGGGCCAGCCCACAUCAGUCCACAGCAAAGUCCUCUCUAAGGGAUCUCUGUUGCUUGGAGAAUAAACCCUCGGAUUCCUUCCUUGGCUCUCGGGGCCUCCUCUCUGACCUCCCUCUGUCUCCUCUCCCAGCCUUCCUCCUCACUCACCCUCCAGCCAUGCUGGCUUCCUCCUUGCUCCUGAAACAGCCUGAGGCCCACACUGCCCCGGGCCCUUUGCACUGGCUGUUUCCUCUGCCUGGAACACUUCUCCUAGGCAUCCACAGGGCUCCCUCCCACAACUCCUUCGGGUGCCCACAUGGGAAGCCAUCCCUGACCACCCCCCCGACUUCCUUCUGAGCAAGGUAGGGUCUUUCUACCUAGUCAUGAGGGCAGGGAUUUUUGUCUGUUGUGUUCUCUGUGUGCCCCCAGUGCCAUCCCAGUGCCUGGCAGAUGGUAAGUGCUCGACACACAUUGGCUGACUGCCUGAAUGAACAACUCUAUGAGCCGAUGGCAGAUAAGGACACUGAGGUCCUCUGGGGUAGGUGACCAGCCCAAGGCCACACAGCUGGUCUGAGAUUAGGCCAGGAGAGGAGCCCGGGUUGGUCACAUCCUGGAGUUGGCGUCUUGGAAACUGCAUCAGGAGAAUAACAAAGAUGAGACGCAGGCUCUAACAAGUGGAUACCAGUGACUCUCGCCCCGCCAGCCCCAGCCCUGCAGCCUUGGGCCCUUCCAGGAGUCAUGGUCUGCCUGCCUGGGGCAUUCCAGGCUUCGACCCAGGUCCUGCACUUUCUAUUUUGAGCCUCUUAGUCCUGAGGACUGUGUGUUCCCAGCAGGCGGCGCGGGCCAGAGGCUGAGCCUGGGUGUGGCUGUCACCCUAUCUGGGGCCAGAGACCCAGAUUCCCGGGCCCUUAACCUGUUGGCUGCUGAGGGCUCUGGCAUAAGCCCUGUUCCCUGCUUGAUUGUCUCCCCUUCAAGCCCCUGCCCUGGUAUCGUAUCGGCCCAUCUCACCUUGGAUUAUAUCCCUGUUUGGCCCCAUUUGAAUCCUGGCUCUGCCCCUUUCCAGCAAUGUGACCUUGGGCAAGUCACUUCAUCUCUCUGGGUCUCAGUUUCUUCAUCUGGGAAAUGGGGACAAUAAGAGUACCUGUCUCUGGCCAUGUGUGGUGACUCAUGCCUGUAACCCCAGCGCUUUGGGAAGCCGAGGCGAGAGAAUUGCUUGAGACCAGGAGUUUGAGAUCAGCCCUGGGCAACAUAGUGAGACCCCUGUCUCUACAAAAUUCUAAAAAAAUUAGCCGGGUGUGGUGGUGUGUGCCUGUAGUCCCAGCUAUUCUAGAGGCUGAGGCGGGAGGAUUGCUUGAGCCCAGGAGUUUGAGGCUGCAGUGAGCUAUGAUUAUGCCCCUGCACAUCAGCCUGGGUGAUAGAUUGAGGCCCCAUCUCUAAAAAUAACAAUACUAAUAAUAAAUAAAAAUGAAAAUGAGUACCUGUCUUCUGGGGUUGCAGAGGAGAUUCAAUGUGAUGAAAUUGAUGAGAGUGCCCUGCAGGGAGCCGGAAACUCAGGGAGCAUCGAUAAUGAGUCCCCCACCAUCAGCAGCUGGCUUAAAUAUAAAAACUGUCAUGGCCUCUGGAGAAAUGACAAGAAUUCGAAGGAGCUUCCCUGCACUGGCCACCCUACACCCUACACCCUUACUUCCUCCCCUCAACUUGCCUGGAUUUAUCGACCCCCACUACCCCACUGGUUGCCUUCUCUCCACCUGGCACAUUUCGUAUGAAUUUGCUUGUUGGUUCUUGCCUAUCUCCCCAGUAGAACAUUAGCUCCUUCAGGACAGGGACUUUUGUCUACCUUAUGCACCUAGUGCAAUGCCUGGCACACAGUCGGUGCUUAAUAAAUGUUUCUUAAAAGAACCAAUAAAUGAAUAGUGACCUCUCCGGGGAGAGGAGCCCUGAGCUCACCUCCUGCCCCCAGCCCAGGGCUCUUAGGUGCUUGUUGGUGUCAGGCCCAGGCCCCCCUCUCAUCAAGCAGCCAAUAAAACUGCCCUGGUUGGCGUUCUCAUUUCACAGAUGGAGAGACUGAGCCCAGAGAGGGAGAGUCACCUGUCUGAUGUCACACAGAGGUCAGCAUCUGGGCUGGGAUUCCAGCCCAGGACCAUGUGGGGUGGGGGGCAGUGGAUCAAUCUUUUCCUGGAGGGAGUCAAUGGUGAUGGUGGGAAUGGGUCAGGGGUGCUGGCAAGGAGGGUCCAAGGCCCCCAGGAGGGAGGGAGGCAUGGGAGAUGAGUUUGUCCCUCUUGAGUUCUGUCUCUCUCUGUGUCUCUCUGUUUCUGCCUCUUUCUGUCUCCUUGUAUUUCUCAGUCCCUGUCUUCGUCUAUACCUCUUUCUCUCUUCCUUGUGUAUCUGACCCACUGCCCAGGAGGGGAUGCAGGCAGAGACCCCUGGCUUGGGUCCUGGAGUUGGGGCCCACGAGGGGAUUGACAUCUGGGGUUGAGCUGGGAAUCUGAAGCCAGACCCUGCAGCCAGGGACAGCAUUCCAGUCUCGGCUCCACACUCCAGGGAUAGCCUUGGAACGCCAGGCAGUUCAGAGAGCCUGAGGUCUGGUCUUGGAGACCUGGGUUCCAAUCCCAGCUUUGCCACAUUCCAGCCAUGUGGCCUUGGGCCCUUAGCCUUUGUUCCUGUAAAAUGGGACCACUGAGAGCCCGAUCUCAGGGUUUUAUGAGGAGGAACGAUGAGAGGGCUGUGCUGGGCUUCCUGAAGCCCUGUGUGGCCUGGAAAGCACUCAAUAGAUGAUAACUCAGUGUAAUGAUUUCUUCUAGCAGAUGGGGAAAGCGAGAGUUAAAGAGGCCCGAUCAUUUCACUCACUCAUUCCUCAAACGUUAUUAAGCACCUGCUAUGCACCAGGUGCUUUGUUUUGUAUCCAUUAACUCAGGGUUCAGCAAACUACAGCCUCCAGGCCAAAUCUGGUUCACAGCCUGUUUUUAUAAAUAAAGUUUUAUUGGCACACAGUAUGCCCAUUCAUUUACAUAUUGUCCACAGCUGCCUUUACCCUACAACUGCAAUGUUGAGCAGUUGUGAGAGAGACCUUAAAACCCACAAAGCUGAACAUAUGAACUCUCUGGACAUUUACAGUAAAGUUUGCUAAUCCCUGGAUUAGCCCAUUACAACCCUGGAGGAAGGACAUGUCAUAAGCUUGAUUUUAUGGAUUAGGAACUGAGGUCCGAGCGCAGUGUCUGC
RNAcentral lists this long non-coding RNA (3695 nucleotides) under Homo sapiens (human). RNAcentral's name for it is "PREDICTED lncRNA (TCONS_00168360)". Lineage: Eukaryota; Metazoa; Chordata; Mammalia; Primates; Hominidae. The record is from RNAcentral.